GUUUUGUCUUGCAUUUUAUAUAUAAUUCAUUGUGUAAUUAUUAUUCAUUUGUAUAAACCAACAGGAACUACAUGAGGCUGGAUGCACCUGGAUUAGUUUCCCAAAUAGAAGUGAGGAGAUUCCAGAUUGGUUUGAGCACCGAAGCAUGGGAAAUGCAAUUUCUUUUUGGUUUAGUAAAGAGAUCCCUACUAUAACAUGUAUUUUUCUUCUCCCGCGAUCAGCAUUGUUUCCAAAAUUCAAUUUGUUUCUCAAUGACAAAGAAAUUGAUAUUCUUGAGUGUUCAUUUUUGUGUGAUGAUGAUUAUGAUUAUGAUGACCUUGUUGUAUAUUUGGGAUUAUUUCAAAAGUUAUUAUUAUUAUAUUCAAUAUUAUUAUGAUUAGCUAUCAAAGAAAAAUAAAAUGUGGUUUUAGUGUGAAUUUUUAUUCCUACUUUAUCUCAAGGCAUAGUUACACUUUGACUACCAAUUUUUCAAAUUUAAAAUAAAUUUGUUUAACAGUCAAAAUUAUUUGUUACCUAUUUACUUGCAGUUGAGAUAUUACUAAGAGUAUUGCCACUUUUUUAGCAACUAUUCUUGGUCAAUCUCCACUUUCCUAAUUAAUAGCACUGCUUUUGAGUGGAACAAAAACGUGGUUAAAGUUUUUUCUCAGAUAGUAGCUUUAUAAAUGAAUCAAAAUUUUAGUACGUGAUAUACAAAGUUACAAAACCAUUCUUCUGACUAUUGUUUUUCAACUUCUUUCAGUUUCAUAAAAUUAAGUGUCUGAGUCAUCUGAGUUUUGAUUACUCGUGUCUUGAUAGCCUCGGUACGCUUACCGCCGAGAAGACCUGUUGUAUUCUGGGGGAGUUGCGCAAUUCUGCGGAUAAUUCCUUAGUCCAGUGACUUAGUCACGCCUCAGGGUUUUACCUUUUUAGUUUAUUGUUUUGCAGGUUGUGAUACUUCAGUCAUCCGCAUUCAACAAUCUAAGGAAUUAUGGCUGGAGAAAAUUCUGACAAUGACAAAAACAAGAAUGUUACAGACUCUACUUUUUCUGUUGCUACCAAUCCGCCAGCAGUUGUCACCUAUGCAAAACAGUUCCCAGACGUUUCCAGAAUUGAAGUGUUUAAAGGACAGAAUUUCCGUCGUUGGAAUGAACGUGUCUUCACUCUGUUAGAUGUCCACGGUGUUGCUUCCGUUCUUACUGAUGUCAAACCAGAUGAAGCCAAAUCAGAUGCCAAACAAAUUGAAAAAUGGAACAAUGCUAACAAGGUUUGUCGCCAUACAAUUCUUUCUACAAUAUCUGAUGCACUUUUCGAUGUUUAUUGUUCCUACAAGGUUGCCAAAGACAUUUGGGACAACAUGAAUGUCAAGUACACUGCUGAGGAGGCUACCAAACAGAAGUUCGUGGUCGGAAACUACCUGUGAUGGCAAAUGAAAGAGGACAAGGAAAUAAAAGUGCAGAUCAACGAGUAUCACCAACUCAUUGAAGAAUUGAAGGCGGAGAACAUCAUACUUCCAGAUGUGUUUGUCGCUGCUGCCCUGGUUGAAAAGUUGCCUAGUUCAUGGGACGAUUACAAGCAACAGCUGAAACAUAAACACAAGCAGAUGUCUCUUAAUGAUCUCAUCAGGCACAUAAUCAUUGAAGACACCAGCAGGAAGGAAUGCGGAGCUGCACGUGCCAAAGCUUUGGAAUCGAGAGCAAAUCUGAUCCAAAACAAUGCGCGUAAACAACAGAGGUAUGAGAACAAAUCUGAUCAUGCUCUCAAAGUAACUAACCCUAAUUUCAAAGCAAACCUAGGUGAGUGCUAUGUGUGUGGAAAGAAAGGACAUAAAGCAUAUCACUGCAGAUAUCGGAAAGUGAAUGGCCAGCCUCCUAAGCCAAAAGCAAAUUUGACUCAAGGAGAUGAUAAGAAAUAUGACGAUGAUGAUGUUAUUGCUGCCGUCAUAUCUAAAGUACAUCUUGUCAAUGAUGUCCAAAAAUGGGUGGUAGACUCGGGGGCUACGAGACACAUCUGUGCAAAGAGAGAGGCCUUUACCUCCUACAUUUCUGUGGGGGAUGAUGAAGAUCAAGUCUAUCUUGGUGAUUCAAGAACCACUGCGGUGAAUGGCAAAGGCAAAGUAAUUCUGAAGCUCACUUCCGGAAAAACCUUGGCUUUGAGUGAUGUGCUAAAUGUGCCUACCAUUAGGACCAAUUUGAUUUCUGUAGCACUAUUAAACAAAGUAGGUGUUAAAGUGUCGUUUGAGUCCGAUAAGAUGGUCAUGUCAAAGAACAAUGUAUUUGUUGGGAACGGGUACUGUGAUCAGGGGCUUUUUGUUCUUAGUGUUUCUGAUUAGGUUUGCAUCCCCUAAGACUAUUUAACUAUCAGUUUUUUCUUUCUUUUCAGUUUUAAUAAAUCUGUUCCCUUUGAAUUUUAUAUAUGCGUUUCUAAAUUCUCUAUUUUUACAUCUCAGUAUACUUAUGUUUAAUUAGUAGUUAAAGUGAUCAAAAUGUUAAAGUUCUUUAUAUGCAUAUGUAAGCAGGAUAUAAUAUUCUCUUGUUAGUUAGAUAUAAAUAAUUCUUCACUGAGACAAUCUUUGCAAACUCUGUUAUAAAGUGUGAACUGAUUGAUUAAAGUUACUUAAUUGUUAUAUUGUAUGAGCACUUACUAAGUUCUUUAUUACAUGAAUGCAAUGAAUUUAGUUAAGUAUAUAAAUUUGAGUCAUGCCAUCUAAUGUUAAAAAUUUAUAGUAUGCUGAUACGCUGAACUGCAAGUAUGAAACAUUAGUAUGCUUCUGACUUUUAAUUUGAUGUUACAUGUUUACAUACAUGUUCUUGACUGAAACUAAUCUUAAUAUGUAUCAUCAUAUUUGUAUUAUUGGAAAUUAAGAUGACAUUGUUUAAUAUGGAAGAACCACUGUAUUAUAAUAAAACAAUGAUGAUAAGUGAAUAUGAACCAAUAAAAUAAAGUGAUUUAUUUUAUUGAUGAAUAUGUCUUGUUUAGUUUAACUAAGCAAACUUGUGUGCAAACCAAGUCUAUGAUAUAGACUUGACGAAGUAUUAGAUUAAUUGAUUAAGAGACGUCUUAAUCAAUAUUUGUGAAUUUAACGAAUUCGUUGACAAAAACCUUGAGAAGAAAAAGUAGGAAAUGAGACUAUGCCACACGAAAACGACAAGUGAUGGAAACCCAACCUUUAUGAAUGGAGAUCCCAUGAAAAAGGUUUAAUGGAAAAAACAAGUCAUUUGUUAGUUAUGUUAGCACUAAAUUGUUUUGUCCUUUUCCUAUAGAGUUAUGACAUUGAAAUGAGAAGUGCUAAUUAAAUUAAAAUUUGAGGGUUGGGCUCAUAAUGUCUUUAAUGAUUUCCAUAAGCCUUUAGGGUGGUGUGUGGUUGUAGCAGGCACUAGAUGGAAUCACCUAUAUAAGUGUCAAGUGGGGCCGCUUGCAUGAGACCGUGGCGGGUCUCUAGAGCACUCAUGAAAAUCAGACACGCGCACGGCCUAAAUGCGCAACACAGCGAUUACACGAGAAUUGUGGGGGUAAUGCGAUUGUGAGACCUCUAGCAUACAUCAAGUGUAUUGGGUUCCAUAGCUUGCUAAACCAAUUCACUGUGUGUUAAGCCUCAUUAGUCUAGGACGGGUUCCAUAGCUUGCUACACCGUUCCGAUGCAUUACACUCAAAGAUGACUCAGGCUAUAUAUUUUUGUUUAAAACUUUUGAAAAUUGUGGGGGAUUGUUGUAUAUUUGGGAUUAUUUCAAAAGUUAUUAUUAUUAUAUUCAAUAUUAUUAUGAUUAGCUAUCAAAGAAAAUUAAAACGUGGUUUUAGUGUGAAUUUUUAUUCCUACUUUAUCUCAAGGCAUAGUUACACUUUGACUACCAAUUUUUCAAAUUUAAAAUAAAUUUGUUUAACAGUCAAAAUUAUAUGUUACCUAUUUACUUGCAGUUGAGAUAUUACUAAGAGUAUUGCCACUUUUUUAGCAACUAUUCUUGGUCAAUCUCCACUUUCCUAAUUAAUAGCAUUGCUUUUGAGUGGAACAAAAACGUGGUGAAAGUUUUUUCUCAGAUAGUAGCUUUAUAAAUGAAUCAAAAUUUUAGUACGUGAUAUACAAAGUUACAAAACCAUUCUUCUGACUAUUGUUUUUCAACUUCUUUCAGUUUCAUAAAAUUAAGUGUCUGAGUCACCUGAGUUUUGAUUACUCGUGUCUUGAUAGCCUCGGUACGCUUACCGCCGAGAAGACUGUUGUAUUCUGGGGGAGUUGCGCAAUUCUGCGGAUAAUUCCUUAGUCCAGUGACUUAGUCACGCCUCAGGGUUUUACCUUUUUAGUUUACUGUUUUGCAGGUUGUGAUACUUCAGUCAUCCGCAUUCAACAGACCUUCGGGCAUCGGAACAUGCAUUUUUGUUUGAUCUGGAAUUGGAUCAUCAUAUUAUAACGAGAGUUUUGCAAAUGAGCCUGAUGAACUGUAUGAAGCAUUUAAAAAUAAUGAAUGGAACCAUGUGGAGCUUAAGUGGGAGAAAAAGAGGAAAAUAUUUAGCAGUGAUGCACAAAUGGGAAUCCAGGUGUCAUGGCAUGGGUACGAUUGUGACCGGGAGAAAAGCAACAAGCAGGGGGAAGUGAGAUUCACUAAUCCUUAUAGCAAGAGAAAGUUAGAUGAAUAUCUUCUCAAUGAUAGCAAUACUUCGUUAUCACAGUUUGAACCUCCUCUAAAAAAAGCAAGGAUUGGUGGAAGUGGGAGUUUCCGAGACAGAGGAGGAGGAUGAUUGUAGUGCACAAUUUCUAAUCGGAAUCCACCAGGAGAAAAGUAACACGGAGGAGGAUGUGAUAUUGAUGCUUCAUUCAGGUGAAAGAAAGACAAAAUCAGAUGAAGAUAUCAAGCUUCGUUGCAACAAAAGGAAUUGAUAAAAGUGGAAGAAAGAAAGACAUGGGGUACAUUCCUUUGUCUAGGUGCAUUAUGAGGUUAGCCAUCUUGUUGUUAUUCUCUCAAUCUCAACAUUGAAGGUUUGUGCUUUGCUGUUUACACUUUACUUCAUCAUCAUAAUUAUAAACGUUGAUUAAUUUCUGUAUAUAUUCAAUUACAAAUUUGUUGUUUCUAGUUGGACAAGUUUUUUAAAUGAUGAGAUAUUCAUGUAACAUUCUGUGGAGGAUGAUUUCUAGCAAAAUCAUUUGUGAUCAAAGACUGCCUUAAAUUUAAUGUAUCUCAUGAAUUAAUAUACAUCGGAUUUGGGAAUCCAUUAUGUUUUGGAAUUAAUAUACAUCGGAUUAAUGUUUAAUGUAUCUCAUGAAUUAAUGUAUC
Molecule: long non-coding RNA, 5240 nt
Filed under: Medicago truncatula (barrel medic)
Lineage: Eukaryota; Viridiplantae; Streptophyta; Magnoliopsida; Fabales; Fabaceae
Description: long non-coding RNA (MTRU_LNC004402)
Source: RNAcentral